UACGAAGGGGGCUAGCGUUGUUCGGAAUCACUGGGCGUAAAGGGCGCGUAGGCGGCUUUAUAAGUCGGGGGUGAAAGCCUGUGGCUCAACCACAGAAUUGCCUUCGAUACUGUAGAGCUUGAGACCGGAAGAGGUAAGUGGAACUGCGAGUGUAGAGGUGAAAUUCGUAGAUAUUCGCAAGAACACCAGUGGCGAAGGCGGCUUACUGGUCCGGUUCUGACGCUGAGGAGCGAAAGCGUGGGGAGCGAACAGG
This 253-nucleotide ribosomal RNA is filed under the name uncultured bacterium. Its description in RNAcentral is "partial 16S ribosomal RNA". It matches the Rfam family "Bacterial small subunit ribosomal RNA", at positions 524 to 776 of the family's 1533-position model. The record is from RNAcentral.